UGGGGAAUAUUGCACAAUGGGCGCAAGCCUGAUGCAGCCAUGCCGCGUGUAUGAAGAAGGCCUUCGGGUUGUAAAGUACUUUCAGUCGGGAGGAAGGUGGUAAGGUUAAUAACCUUAUCAAUUGACGUUACCGACAGAAGAAGCACCGGCUAACUCCGUGCCAGCAGCCGCGGUAAUACGGAGGGUGCAAGCGUUAAUCGGAAUUACUGGGCGUAAAGCGCACGCAGGCGGUUGAUUGAGUCAGAUGUGAAAUCCCCGGGCUUAACCUGGGAACUGCAUUCGAAACUGGCAGGCUAGAGUCUUGUAGAGGGGGGUAGAAUUCCAGGUGUAGCGGUGAAAUGCGUAGAGAUCUGGAGGAAUACCGGUGGCGAAGGCGGCCCCCUGGACAAAGACUGACGCUCAGGUGCGAAAGCGUGGGGAGCAAACAGG
Molecule: ribosomal RNA, 429 nt
Filed under: Chloroflexota bacterium
Lineage: Bacteria; Bacillati; Chloroflexota
Description: Chloroflexi bacterium partial 16S ribosomal RNA
Rfam family: Bacterial small subunit ribosomal RNA
Source: RNAcentral